AGCGAACGUUUGCGGCGGGCUUAACACAUGCAAGUCGAACGGGCUGUUCCUUCGGGGGCAGUCAGUGGCGCACGGGUGCGUAACACGUAGGUAAUCAACCCUUCAGCUCGGGAUAACACUUCGAAAGGAGUGCUAAUACCGGAUGUGAUGCGGGGCUCUUCGGAGCGUCGCAGGAAAGAUCCGCAAGGAUCACUGAAGGACGAGCCUGCGGCCCAUCAGCUAGUUGGUGAGGUAAAAGCUCACCAAGGCGAAGACGGGUAGCUGGUCUGAGAGGAUGAUCAGUCACACUGGAACUGAGACACGGUCCAGACUCCUACGGGAGGCAGCAGUGGGGAAUAUUGCGCAAUGGGCGAAAGCCUGACGCAGCCACGCCGCGUGAGCGAUGAAGGCCUUCGGUCGUAAGACUCUGUGGGGGAGGAAGGAAAAAGAACCGGUAGGAAGAAGCCGGCCCGUCGACGGUAGU
RNAcentral lists this ribosomal RNA (463 nucleotides) under uncultured bacterium. RNAcentral's name for it is "bacterial SSU rRNA". It matches the Rfam family "Bacterial small subunit ribosomal RNA", at positions 30 to 479 of the family's 1533-position model. The record is from RNAcentral.